RNAcentral lists this transfer RNA (66 nucleotides) under Parankylopteryx sp. YJ-2017. RNAcentral describes it as "tRNA-Phe". The record is from RNAcentral. Lineage: Eukaryota; Metazoa; Arthropoda; Insecta; Neuroptera; Chrysopidae.
AUUUAAAUAGCUUAUUAAAGAGUAUAACAUUGAAGCUGUUAAGGAGAUAUUAAUUAUCUUUAAAUA